AAUGCACAUAAAAUGGCCCCUAUCUCUAUGAAACCCUAAGUUUCCCCCAAAAGCGCUACCAUGGCCCUAGCUUCCAGUGUUCGCCUUUCUUCCUCCAUCCUCCGCUACCGCCUCGCUGCCCCACUCUACCCGACCCGAUUUUCCAGUCUCCGUCACAACCUGUCGGAGCUCCGCUUCCUGUCCGCAUCGUCCUCCCGUCCCGGGACCCACAUCCGCCCAAUCAAAGCGAGGCUCCAGGACGACCCCAAAAAGGAGGACCCAGGCGAGGGGCAGAACGGGAAUGGAAGUGUGCUGGUCAAGGACACAAGUGAGAACAGCGAAGAAAGAAUCGUUCGUGUUGAGCUCCACAAGGAGGCCACUGAAGCGUACAUGGCUAUGUCUGUCCUGCUCGGCCGCGCCCUGCUGGAUGUUCGCGACGGUUUGAAGCCGGUGCACUGUCGUAUUUUGAUUUCUCCCUACGAUUCCCACUAAUUCAAGGGCAUGGGAAUUUCGGGUUGAUUGAUGCUGAUCCUGCAGCUGCCAUGCGUUACACAGAGUGCAGAUUGGAGGCAUGUUCAGAUAUUUUAGUUACUUUAACACUUUGGCAUGGCAACCAACAUUCCUCAGCAUAAUCUUGGAGAGUUGGUAGAUGUUCUUAGUGUGUUAAUUCACAAUCCAGAAGCUACGUAUUCAUAAUGGGCAAACUAAGCAGAUGGGUCUAAAGGAGUUGCUGCAGCAGAUUCUAAACACGCGUCCAAAGGAUCAAGAGCUCUGGGGACAUCAGAUCAGAUUAUGGUAUUAAAGUAUUGGAAAAUGCCGAAGGCGAACUAGUGCGUUCACUUGAGAAUCGUGGAGUUUCAGCAAGUGAGGAUGGUAUUAAGGUACUAGAAAAAACAUUCACUUGAGAAUCAUGAAGUUUUUGCCUUUGGGCUAUCUUCCUGAAAUGUUGGGAAGGUAAAAUUGUUGCAUUAGAUUUAUCAAGCGAUUCAAAUUUACUAAGUGAUUAGAAAGGUUGUUAACUAAAAAAAUUAUGUUGCAAGAAUCCAUAAUUGACACAUUUAGUACUUCCAAUUCUGCCCAUGAAACAAACAACGAAGUGCUCAAAAUCGAGGUUUUAGUAGUAAAGGAGCAUGAUACCUUGCGUUAAGUAAGGGAAGUUCUUUCAAGAGCCAUGUUGGACUUGGGUUCGUUGGAAACAAGGCUAGCAUUUCAUUAUUCAUACGAAGAUACCCCUUUCAUGGUAUCUUGUGAUACACUUGAGCAUCCUAACAUGAUCAUUAUGGACAACAGUUUUGUUGUUUAGUUAGGUUUGGUAAAAUCAAGAUACAUGUGGACGGAUGACGUGGGAAGAAGUGAGGACCGGAGGUUGUUGUGAUGGUGGUUACAGUGGUGUGAGCUGGUCAUGUAGAGAACGAAGAAGUGUAGGCUUUGAGGGAAUAAUGGAAAUAAGAUGGCAAAAUAGCUUUUUCUUUUCUUGGGUUGAUUGAUUUUGUGUUCUUAGGGGAGUAAUACGAUGAUCUAGAAGAGAUUGCCUCUUUACUUUGGAGCUGCUUUGACUUUGCAAAAGGGAGGAAAGACGGAGUCUAUUUAGGAACUGCUCGGUCGCACAAAAGAGAGGAGGGACUUGACCUUUCAUGUUUCCUAGCUGCCUAUACAUAAAUCUCAAUAUUAGAGGAGGACUAACAGCUGAGAGUAGUACUUUAUUGUUCUUGGGCAACAAGAAAUCAGAGUCAAAGCAGCUCCAAAGUAGAGGGGCAAUAUGUUCUAGAUCAUCGUGUUACUCUCCUAAGAACACAGCAUCAAUCAGCCCAAGAAAAGGAGAAGCUAUUUUGCCACCUUAUUUCCAUUGUUCCCUCAAAGCCUUCAGUUCUUCGUCCUCUACAUGACCAGCCCACACCACUGUAACUACCGUCACACCAACCUCCGGUCCCUACUUCUUCCCACGUCAUCCGUUCACAUGUAUCUUGAUUUUACCUAACCUAACUGAACAACAAAACUGUGGUCCAUAACGAUCAUGUUAGGAUGCUCAAGUGCAUUACAAGAUACUAUGAAAGGGGUAUCUUCGUAUGAAUAAUUAAUUGCUAGCCUUGUUUCCAACAAACCCAAGUCCAACAUGGCUCUCGAAAAAGCUUCCCUUAUUUAACGCAAGGUAUCAUACUCCUAUACUACUAAAACCUCGAUUUUGAGCACUUCAUUGUUGUUUUAUAGGCAGAAUUGGAAGUACUAAAUGUGCCCAUUAUGGAUUCUUUUAACAUAAUUUUUUUAGUUAACAACCUUUCUAAUCACUUAGUAAAUUUGAGUCUCUUGAUAAAUCUAAUGCAACAAUUUUACCUUCCCGACAGCUCAAAGGCAAAAACUCCAUGAUUCUCAAGUGAAUGUAGUGGUUGAACACCUUCGGCAUUUUCCAGUACCUUAAUACCAUCCUCACUUGCUGAAACUGCUAGCAUUCUUCCUUCCUUUUUAAAUUGUAAACAAUGAGAAUCCUAACACAGAUAUUAAAUCAAGUGUUCUUUCAACUCUAACAUUAACCUCGAAA
Prunus dulcis (almond) is the source of this 2515-nucleotide long non-coding RNA. RefSeq lists it as uncharacterized. The record is from RefSeq and is a predicted model, not a curated record. NCBI's taxonomy places the organism in Eukaryota, Viridiplantae, Streptophyta, Magnoliopsida, Rosales, Rosaceae. The transcript is spliced from 6 exons.